GACGAACGCUGGCGGCGUGCUUAACACAUGCAAGUCGAACGGAAAGGCCCUGCUUUUGUGGGGUGCUCGAGUGGCGAACGGGUGAGUAACACGUGAGUUACCUGCCCUUGACUUUGGGAUAACUUCAGGAAACUGGGGCUAAUACCGGAUAGGAGCUCCUGCUGCAUGGUGGGGGUUGGAAAGUUUCGGCGGUUGGGGAUGGACUCGCGGCUUAUCAGCUUGUUGGUGGGGUAGUGGCUUACCAAGGCUUUGACGGGUAGCCGGCCUGAGAGGGUGACCGGCCACAUUGGGACUGAGAUACGGCCCAGACUCCUACGGGAGGCAGCAGUGGGGAAUAUUGCACAAUGGGCGGAAGCCUGAUGCAGCAACGCCGCGUGCGGGAUGACGGCCUUCGGGUUGUAAACCGCUUUCGCCUGUGACGAAGCGUGAGUGACGGUAAUGGGUAAAGAAGCACCGGCUAACUACGUG
RNAcentral lists this ribosomal RNA (468 nucleotides) under uncultured bacterium. Its description in RNAcentral is "partial 16S ribosomal RNA". It matches the Rfam family "Bacterial small subunit ribosomal RNA", at positions 28 to 507 of the family's 1533-position model. The record is from RNAcentral.